Molossus molossus (Pallas's mastiff bat) is the source of this 1497-nucleotide RNA transcript. It is a transcript of the gene named transmembrane protein 41B, with no coding region annotated. The transcript is spliced from 8 exons. The record is from RefSeq and is a predicted model, not a curated record. NCBI's taxonomy places the organism in Eukaryota, Metazoa, Chordata, Mammalia, Chiroptera, Molossidae.
GGGCGGAGCCGAAUGCCAGUGGGCGCUGCAGGUCUCCGCGGAGCGUCACUGUGUUCGCCGACUGAGGUCGUCUCCGCUUUGGUGGUCACCCCGGAACUGGCUGUGGCUCUUGGGAGCUAUAAGGCGCUUGGGGCGGAGUUGUUCAGGGGGUGCAGCAUCACCCCGCCUCUUCCUGCAGUAGCCAUGGCGAAAGGCAGAGUCGCCGAAAGAUCACAGACGAGGGCACUCCAGACAACCCCGCCGGGGGACCGGGCAGCCGGGACGCAGGGUCCCACAGCGCCGGGCAGCAGAGACCACCUCAAGGAAAAAGCCUGUGCAGAAGCUGGAUCAGCAAGAACGUCACUUCUUAUAUUGGUGUCCAUUUUCUUAUCUGCAGCUUUUGUAAUGUUUUUGGUAUACAAAAAUUUUCCUCAGCUUAGUGAAGAAGAAAGAGUGAAUAUGAAGGUUCCCAGAGAUAUGGAUGAUGCCAAGGCUCUAGGAAAAGUUUUAUCCAAAUAUAAGGACACCUUUUAUGUACAAGUACUUGUAGCUUAUUUUGCUACAUAUAUUUUCUUGCAGACAUUUGCUAUUCCAGGUUCUAUAUUUCUCAGUAUACUCUCAGGGUUUCUUUAUCCCUUUCCACUAGCCUUAUUUCUUGUUUGUUUGUGUUCUGGACUCGGUGCCUCAUUCUGCUAUAUGCUCUCCUACUUAGUUGGGAGACCCGUUGUAUACAAAUAUCUAACAGAGAAAGCAGUAAAAUGGUCACAGCAGGUUGAACGGCAUAGAGAACAUCUCAUUAACUACAUUAUAUUUUUGAGAAUAACACCAUUUCUGCCUAAUUGGUUUAUUAAUAUUACAUCUCCUGUGAUAAAUGUGCCAUUGAAAGUUUUUUUUAUUGGCACAUUUCUAGGUGUCGCACCUCCCUCUUUUAUAGCCAUUAAGGCAGGAACAACACUGUACCAGCUUACAACAGCAGGGGAAGCUGUUUCCUGGAACUCAGUAUUUGUUCUAAUGAUUCUGGCUCUUCUUUCUAUACUGCCAGCCAUCUUCCAAAAAAAACUAAAGCAGAAAUUUGAGUAAAAAAUCAUCUGGGUUUUCGUUUUCCUAUCAUCAUCAACAUCAUCAUCAUCAUCAUCACCAUCAUCAUCAUCAUCAUUAUCAUCUCAGGACUGGCAGGUUUAUGUGUUAAAAUCACCUCUUCAGUAAUUGAAACAAGGAAUUUGUAAAAUAAAAUUUCCUAUCAGAUAGUUAAAAUAAUGCCUUUAAGUGGCAAGAGAGAGAAAAAAGAAUGGAAAUUGAUAUACCAUGAAAAGUACUGUCAGUACUUACAGUAGCCAUCUUCUAAAUUAUUAUUCUUAGGAUUCCCAUACUUGGCCUGAUGCCAGAUAUAGAUUCAAGCUUCAGCCACAUCUUGAAGACAGUUACAUAUAAUAACCACAGAGAGCAAGUAUGUGUAAUGAGAAGGCCUACAAGCUAACUAGCAAGUUGACACACUGACUAAGUGAGACUGUACCCUUC